Molecule: non-coding RNA, 45 nt
Filed under: Trichobilharzia regenti
Lineage: Eukaryota; Metazoa; Platyhelminthes; Trematoda; Strigeidida; Schistosomatidae
Source: RNAcentral
GUCCGGAUGACGAGUCCCAAAUAGAACGAAAUGAGUAUCCUAGAU